Vitis vinifera (wine grape) is the source of this 2113-nucleotide long non-coding RNA. RefSeq lists it as uncharacterized. Lineage: Eukaryota; Viridiplantae; Streptophyta; Magnoliopsida; Vitales; Vitaceae. The record is from RefSeq and is a predicted model, not a curated record. The transcript is spliced from 2 exons.
AUAAAACCCAAUGCUCAAAAUAUCAACUGUGAAGAUCAAAUGACGGCUUUACCUCACUUUCAAAUCCGAAGAUCAAUGGAUGUCAAGCUGAUGGAGAGGGACAAUGGUUGCACGUUGAUGAUGGCAGUGAGGGAAUGGAGAAAUGGGAUGGGAAUAGAAAUUUGUGAGUCGCGGCAUGGGCGGGCAAAGAAGGCAUGGGUAUGGUGGAAGGGGCAGCAACAUGUGCUGGAUGUGAGAGGUGGGCACGCAGGAAGAAAAUGGAGAUGAAAGAAAGGGAAGGAAAGAGAGGGACGAAUGGGAGAGAGGAAAGGAAACGAAAGCAGAGGGACGGCGAACAGUGCCACGAACCGGUUGAUACCGGAAAGGGAGGAGGAGCCAGAGAAGCAGCCGCUUUUGGUGCGGCAGCAGCCACCGGAGCAGGGGCAGCAACACGCGGAUGAAACCACAUUGACGUCAGUGCUCUUGUUUUCUCUUCUUGAUCCUCUUCUUUUUUUCUCUCUAGAAAUCUUGCUCUCCGAGCUUUUGUUUUUUUUCUUUUUUUUUUCCUUUUAUCUGGUCUCUCCCCUGCUGAAAAACCUUCCCCCUCCGGAACUGAAAAUCCCUGUCCCACUUCUGUUAGAUGCUAUGUACUCACAUACAUUAAUAAUUGUUUAUGAUUAACCCAACUAUACAUAUUUAAUUUAUAUUUAUUAAGUAUGGGUCACAAGUGUGUAGAGCAUAAGUUAUAUGUGUCUUAUGUGAUGGACGAAAGACAAAUAUGGCCAAGAGCCCGAUGGGUAUGGUCCUAAUGCAUUGAAGAAAUUAAUAAAAAGGAAAAUGUCUUUUUAAGUUUUCUUUCUUGAAAAUACGAAAUGUUCCCUCUCUUGUCUCCAAUCGCAAGGUGGUUUCCUCCUCGCCUUACAAGAACCAUACUUUUUCAAGACCGUGAAUGGAUUCAGGUUUGUCUACAUUUUCUAAUCUAAUCUAAUCUAAUCGGCAUGUUAUAUUUAUAUGAUUUAACAUGAAAUUUCUGGUUUUGGGUUGACAAUGAAGUUUACAACUUCUGUUUUUCUCUCCGGAUAUCACCCCCUCCCCUGCCCUCUUUCUCUCCCCCAGCUUUUCAACUCCAAUCUGCCUCUCUGUCCAUCCUAUGCUUAGCUCACUAUGCCAGCCAUCAUCCUCUAUUCAGAGACGUCCCUCUCUCAACCACCCCCGUGGCAAGAUGGAAGUCCUUUGCCACACGUCCCAGCAUGCGUGGCUCCACCGGAAACCGGCCCCCACUCCUAAAACAAGCUGCCAGCUCUUCCCGGGGUGGUAAAAAUAUGCUCCAAAAAAAAACUUAGACAAAAAAUGAGGGUCUACAACUCACUUUGAAUUUGGGAAUUGCCUUGGGUUAUAAAAAUUGUUUCUGCUGACUGCAUGUUCUACUAUGUUUAUUCGCUGCAAUACUUCUGUUCUCAUCAUUCAAGGUGCCAUUUCUCUUCUAAACUGAUAUAGCAAUUCUUGAUGCAAUAUCUAUUUUAAUUUUCUUUCCACUGUGGAUUUAAGCAAGUUAUUAGCAAUCUUAUCCAGUGGAUAUAUUUUUGCAGGUAGAUCACAGCCCUAACAUAUUUUCUGCUUCUAUAUGUAUUCUGCUGUGUGGAUUUCUGCAAGUAAGUUAUACGAUUCCUAUUUUUCUCUUGUUUUAUAAACAGUUAUUUGCUGCUGAUGAAGAUGAGACAGACCUAUACAACAACUUUGUAGUGAAGACAUGCCAGAAAUUCAUUCCUGUGACUGCUAGUUAUGAUGGCAAUCUAUUCGUAACAAUUCAAGAUGGUGUCUGGAAAGUAAGUCAUUGAUGGGGUUGUGUUGACUUAUCAACAUCUUACUCUACGCCCUAUAAAAUGGGUUAGAAUUUUUCUGCAGAUCAGGAAAUCGAACUAUCAAGUCUUGGUGCUGGGGUACUGUUGAGUCUAAUGAAGAAAUCUGAGUAGCCAAAGGAGCUGGGACAGUCGAUUGAUUUCUUUUAAAAUUUACAACAGGCAGUCACAUUGUUGCUCUCUUUGUCUGUUCCAGUCUAAUUUACAAUCAGCCACAACUGUGAAACUGAUAUUUAUCUGGCUUUGAUGGUAAUAAUAGAUUUCAUUGAAAACUA